CCUACGAGUGGCAGCAGUGAGGAAUAUUGGUCAAUGGGCGCGAGCCUGAACCAGCCAAGUAGCGUGAAGGAUGACUGCCCUACGGGUUGUAAAAUUCUUUUAUAAAGGAAUAAAGUGAGGCACGUGUGCCUUUUUGUAUGUACUUUAUGAAUAAGGAUCGGCUCACUCCGUGCCAGUAGCCGCGGUAAUACGGGGGAUCCGAGCGUUAUCCGGAUUUAUUGGGUUUAAAGGGAGCGUAGAUGGGUGGUUAAGUCAGUUGUGAAAGUUUGCGGGUCAACCGUAAAAUUGCAAUUGGAACUGGCAGCCUUGAGUACAGUUGAGGUAGGCGGAAUUCGUGGUGUAGCGGUGAAAUGCUUAGAUAUCACGAAGAACUCCGAUUGCGAAGGCAGCUUACUAAACUGCCACUGACAUUGAUGCUCGAAAGUGUGGGUAUCAAACAGGAUUAGAUACCCUGUAGUC
Molecule: ribosomal RNA, 459 nt
Filed under: uncultured bacterium
Lineage: Bacteria
Description: partial 16S ribosomal RNA
Rfam family: Bacterial small subunit ribosomal RNA
Source: RNAcentral